AGCGAACGCUGGCGGCAGGCUUAACACAUGCAAGUCGAACGGUCCUUCGGGAUAGUGGCGGACGGGUGAGUAACACGUGGGAACGUACCCUUAGGUUCGGAACAACACAGGGAAACUUGUGCUAAUACCGGAUAAGCCCUUCGGGGGAAAGAUUUAUCGCCUUUGGAGCGGCCCGCGUCUGAUUAGCUUGUUGGUGAGGUAAUGGCUCACCAAGGCUACGAUCAGUAGCUGGUCUGAGAGGAUGGCCAGCCACACUGGGACUGAGACACGGCCCAGACUCCUACGGGAGGCAGCAGUGGGGAAUCUUGCGCAAGGGGCGAAAGCCUGACGCAGCCAUGCCGCGUGGAUGAUGUAGGUCUUAGGAUUGUAAAAUCCUUUCACCGGGGACGUUAAUGACGGUACCCGGGGAAGAAGCCCCGGCUAACUUCGUGCCAGCCGCCGCCGUAA
RNAcentral lists this ribosomal RNA (447 nucleotides) under uncultured bacterium. RNAcentral describes it as "partial 16S ribosomal RNA". It matches the Rfam family "Bacterial small subunit ribosomal RNA", at positions 29 to 523 of the family's 1533-position model. The record is from RNAcentral.